RNAcentral lists this unclassified non-coding RNA (733 nucleotides) under Hevea brasiliensis (rubber tree). The record is from RNAcentral. Lineage: Eukaryota; Viridiplantae; Streptophyta; Magnoliopsida; Malpighiales; Euphorbiaceae.
UCUCCUUUCUUCUUUUACCCCCUUUGUAAUCCAAGUCAUCGAAACUGAAAAAUCCAAGUGUAACCCAGCCAAGGAAAACACAGGCUAAAUGCAACUCUGAAUGGAACAAAAUUACAAGCCUAGAACCAAAGGGAUACAAUAAAUAAAUAAAAGACACUCAGUCUCAAGGAAGCAUGUUGAAAACACACACAUCCAACCAUUUCAAGCAUUUCUUUAUUUUUCUUACAUCGAGGUUUAAAAGUUUCUUUUAAAAAAAUAUUUGUGAUUUAUAAAUAAUAUUAAAUAAAUAAACAAGAUUUAAACUACAGUAGUUUAAUAAUAAUAAUAAUACGUUAUAAUUUUAGAAUGUGGCCAAUUUUUUACAAUUUGGAUUUAGGCCUUGGAAAAUCAAUUCCCUUUCCACUGGUUGUUUCUGCCGUUAGAUGUAGCUGUUUAAUUCUACAUAAAACAUAUUUUGCCUACUUUCUUUUUCUUGUUUAUUUAUUAGUAAUAAGGAAAGACCUACUUUAAUGCCUUUAUAUUAUUAUAGAAAAUUUAAUAUUUUAAAUAAUUAGAAAGAAAUAUUAUAUGAAGAUAAUAACAAUUAAUAAAAAAAAACAAUGUUGACGCAUCUUACAUCCUGCUUUUGGUAAUGGAAAUGAAAUUCAAAUUUCAAUUAUUAUAAUGACUAACACAGACUAAUAAUAUUCGUAUCAAUGGAGCUCUCAUAUUCUUCAAGCACUAGCAAAAGCCU